This 484-nucleotide ribosomal RNA is filed under the name uncultured bacterium. Its description in RNAcentral is "partial 16S ribosomal RNA". It matches the Rfam family "Bacterial small subunit ribosomal RNA", at positions 30 to 507 of the family's 1533-position model. The record is from RNAcentral.
AUUGAACGCUGGCGGCAUGCCUAACACAUGCAAGUCGAGCGGCUUAAGGGGGCUUGCUCCUGUAUUCAGCGGCGGACGGGUGAGUAAGGCCUAGGAAUCUGCCUGUUCGUGGUGGAUAACGUUCGGAAACGGGCGCUAAUACCGCUUACGUCCUGAGGGAUCAAGUGGGGGAUGUUCGGAUCUCACGCUAUCAGAUGAGCCUAGGUCGGAUUAGCUAGUUGGUGGGGUAAAGGCCUACCAAGGCGACGAUCCGUAACGGGUCUGAGAGGAUGAUCAGUCACACUGGAACUGAGACACGGUCCAGACUCCUACGGGAGGCAGCAGUGGGGAAUAUUGGACAAUGGGCGCAAGCCUGAUCCAGCCAUGCCGCGUGUGUGAAGAAGGUCUUCGGAUUGUAAAGCACUUUAAGUUGGGAGGAAGGGCAGUAAGUUAAUACCUUGCUGUUUUGACGUUACCAGCAGAAUAAGCACCGGCUAACUUCGUG